RNAcentral lists this long non-coding RNA (289 nucleotides) under Haliotis rubra (blacklip abalone). RNAcentral describes it as "uncharacterized LOC124265850". The record is from RNAcentral. Lineage: Eukaryota; Metazoa; Mollusca; Gastropoda; Lepetellida; Haliotidae.
UAAAAGUUUUCCAUGUAUCUCAAGACAAAGGUCUUCUCAGUGUCCCAAAAUGCAAGUUGCAAACUUUUGGCGGCAGAUCUUUCAGCGUUCACUCAGCUUCCCUCUGGAACUCACUACCUCUCCAUGUCAAGUCAUCUCCUUCCAUCUCCAUCUUUAAAUCAAGACUCAAAACAUUCUUGUUCAACCACAACUAAAUCUUAUAAAACUUCUUCCUCUAUAUAGUGUACAUAUUUACUGUUGCGCAAAGAGCAUGCCCUUGAGGUGUGGAGUUACUACUGCGCUCUACAAA